AAUAAUUUUUAAAAGCUAGGCUGUAUUACCUUGUUGUUUUCAUUUUUUAUUGAUUUAUUUUUUUUCCUGUAGGUCAGAAUGCGGGUGCCCUCAAUUCUGUUGAUUCUGCAUUCUUGAAAAAAAAAAAAUAUAUAUAUAAAGAAGAUGAAGAAAAGAAAAUCUGAUGGUAUCAGGAAUAUAUGCGACAUCAUUCAGAGAAAUGUUUCACUUGAGGAUCAGGCUUUGAGAAGUCACGACAGAAACCUUCACUCUCAUACGAUUUUACUGCUUCAUCUGUGUGUUUGCAGCUCUAAUAAACAAAGUGUCUCUCCAGGUCACAGUCGAAGGGUUUAUCGGUGGUUCUGUCGUCUUGCCGUGUUCUUCAAUUAAACGUGAUCUUAAACUUCAAGAUAUUAAUGUGCACUGGAGACAAAAGGGCGGCAAAAUUGUGUAUGAUGUAGUUGGAGGUAAAGAUUUAAGAGCAGCACAGGAUCAGCAGUACAAGAACAGAGCUGAAACUUUCACUAAAGUGUAUGAGGAAGGAAACUUCUCUCUCAAAAUCAGCAAUCUCACUCAAGCUGAUGCAGGAAAAUACAUCUGCCACAUCACAAACAUCCGUUCAUCUGAAUGUCAGACUGUACAGCUGGUCAUCAAAGAGAAUGAACAAGAAAAGCCUGAUGAUGAGGGGUCCACAUUGCACUGGGUUUACAUUGCUGUACUGUUAAUAGUAAUAGCUUGUUUCCUCAUAUUUCUCUGUAUAAAAAAAUUCUGUCUGGUGCAGGAACACUGAAUGAGAUCUUGAAACAUCAGUACAUUGCUGCCUCAAAUGUUGCUUCAAAUGUGUUUCUGUAAAUGUUAUUUCAAAUUUGUAUUUGAAUAAAAACUGCACAUUUAACAAAUUUGAUUCUUUAUAUAUCAGACUUGUAUUUCAGUGAAUUUACAGAUAAAACAUGAUGAUUAGGGGUGAGAUCUGCUGUGCAGCUCUGUUAUAACACUAACCUCACUAAAGAGGACCUCAAGGAGCCUCGAGUUGGUUGUACAGUGUGUUUGGCGCCCUCUAUUGGAUAAAGACAUGAAC
Carassius gibelio (silver crucian carp) is the source of this 1057-nucleotide long non-coding RNA. RefSeq lists it as uncharacterized. The transcript is spliced from 4 exons. Lineage: Eukaryota; Metazoa; Chordata; Actinopteri; Cypriniformes; Cyprinidae. The record is from RefSeq and is a predicted model, not a curated record.